Molecule: ribosomal RNA, 607 nt
Filed under: Caulobacteraceae bacterium
Lineage: Bacteria; Pseudomonadati; Pseudomonadota; Alphaproteobacteria; Caulobacterales; Caulobacteraceae
Description: bacterial SSU rRNA
Rfam family: Bacterial small subunit ribosomal RNA
Source: RNAcentral
CCCGCGUCUGAUUAGCUAGUUGGUGAGGUAAAGGCUCACCAAGGCGACGAUCAGUAGCUGGUCUGAGAGGAUGAUCAGCCACAUUGGGACUGAGACACGGCCCAAACUCCUACGGGAGGCAGCAGUGGGGAAUCUUGCGCAAUGGGCGAAAGCCUGACGCAGCCAUGCCGCGUGAAUGAUGAAGGUCUUAGGAUUGUAAAAUUCUUUCACCGGGGACGAUAAUGACGGUACCCGGAGAAGAAGCCCCGGCUAACUUCGUGCCAGCAGCCGCGGUAAUACGAAGGGGGCUAGCGUUGCUCGGAAUUACUGGGCGUAAAGGGAGCGUAGGCGGACAUUUAAGUCAGGGGUGAAAUCCCGGGGCUCAACCUCGGAAUUGCCUUUGAUACUGGGUGUCUUGAGUAUGAGAGAGGUGUGUGGAACUCCGAGUGUAGAGGUGAAAUUCGUAGAUAUUCGGAAGAACACCAGUGGCGAAGGCGACACACUGGCUCAUUACUGACGCUGAGGCUCGAAAGCGUGGGGAGCAAACAGGAUUAGAUACCCUGGUAGUCCACGCCGUAAACGAUGAUUGCUAGUUGUCGGGAUGCAUGCAUUUCGGUGACGCAGCUAA